This 483-nucleotide ribosomal RNA is filed under the name uncultured bacterium. RNAcentral describes it as "partial 16S ribosomal RNA". It matches the Rfam family "Bacterial small subunit ribosomal RNA", at positions 28 to 507 of the family's 1533-position model. The record is from RNAcentral.
GACGAACGCUGGCGGCGUGCUUAACACAUGCAAGUCGAACGCUGAAGCCCAGCUUUUGUUGGGUGGAUGAGUGGCGAACGGGUGAGUAACACGUGAGUAACCUGCCCCCUUCUUUGGGAUAACGCCCGGAAACGGGUGCUAAUACUGGAUAUUCACUGGUCUUCGCAUGGGGGUUGGUGGAAAGGGUUUUUCUGGUGGGGGAUGGGCUCGCGGCCUAUCAGCUUGUUGGUGGGGUGAUGGCCUACCAAGGCUUUGACGGGUAGCCGGCCUGAGCGGGUGACCGGUCACAUAGGGACUGCGAUACGGCCCAGACUGCGACGCGAGGCAGCAGUGGGGAAGAUUGAGCAAUGGGCGAAAGCCUGAUGCAGCGACGCCGCGGGAGGGAUGGAGGCCUUCGGGUUGUGAAGCUCUUUCGCUCAUGGUCAAGCCGCAACAAUGGUUGUGGUGAGGGUAGUGGGUAAAGAAGCGCCGGCUAACUACGUG